This 406-nucleotide ribosomal RNA is filed under the name uncultured bacterium. RNAcentral describes it as "partial 16S ribosomal RNA". It matches the Rfam family "Bacterial small subunit ribosomal RNA", at positions 30 to 526 of the family's 1533-position model. The record is from RNAcentral.
AUUGAACGCUGGCGGUAUGCUUAACACAUGCAAGUCGAACGAGUGGCGGACGGGUGAGUAAUGCAUAGGAAUCUACCUUUUAGUCUAGGAUAACUACCCGAAAGGGUGGCUAAUAAUGGUUGCUAAGAGAUGCGCAUAUGUGGGAUUAGCUAGUUGGGGGGGUAAAGGCUAACCUAGGCGACGAUCUCUAGCUGGUCUGAGAGGAUGAGCAGCCACACUGGGACUGAGACACGGCCUAGAAGCCGACGGGAGGCAGCAGUGGGGAAUAUUGCACAAUGGGCGCAAGCCUGAUGCAGCCAUGCCGCGUGUAUGAAGAAGGCCUUAGGGUUGUAAAGUACUUUCAGCGGGGAGGCGUUACCCGCAGAAGAAGCACCGGCUAACUCCGUGCCAGCAGCCGCGGUAAUAC